Molecule: small RNA, 75 nt
Filed under: Xanthomonas pisi
Lineage: Bacteria; Pseudomonadati; Pseudomonadota; Gammaproteobacteria; Lysobacterales; Lysobacteraceae
Also listed under: 1 other name
Description: sX9 sRNA
Rfam family: Xanthomonas sRNA sX9
Source: RNAcentral
AUGGACCACGCGUACACGCCGGUUCCUGCGCGCCGUCCACACCACCUGAGACCUGCUCGCUACGUGUUGUUGGCC